GCCCGCUUGACGGAACAGGUAGACGUAGCGGACUUAAAAUCCGCGGCCGAUAGGCGUGCCGGUUCGAGUCCGGCAGCGGGCACCA
RNAcentral lists this transfer RNA (85 nucleotides) under Alphaproteobacteria bacterium. RNAcentral's name for it is "tRNA-Leu". It matches the Rfam family "tRNA". Rfam says of the family: Transfer RNA (tRNA) molecules are approximately 80 nucleotides in length. Their secondary structure includes four short double-helical elements and three loops (D, anti-codon, and T loops). Further hydrogen bonds mediate the characteristic L-shaped molecular structure. tRNAs have two regions of fundamental functional importance: the anti-codon, which is responsible for specific mRNA codon recognition, and the 3' end, to which the tRNAs corresponding amino acid is attached (by aminoacyl-tRNA synthetases). tRNAs cope with the degeneracy of the genetic code in two manners: having more than one tRNA (with a specific anti-codon) for a particular amino acid; and 'wobble' base-pairing, i.e. permitting non-standard base-pairing at the 3rd anti-codon position. Lineage: Bacteria; Pseudomonadati; Pseudomonadota; Alphaproteobacteria. The record is from RNAcentral.